GAUGAACGCUAGCUACAGGCUUAACACAUGCAAGUCGCAGGACUGGCGCACGGGUGAGUAACGCGUAUCCAACCUUCCCAUGACCACGGGAUAACCCGUUGAAAGACGGACUAAUAUCGUAUGGUGAUGGAUGGGGAUGCGUCUGAUUCGCUUGUUGGCGGGGUAACGGCCCACCAAGGCGACGAUCAGUAGGGGUUCGGAGAGGAAGGUCCCCCAAAGUGUAACGGAGGGACGGUCAAAAUGCCGACGGGAGGCAGAAAUGAGUACUAUUGUUCAAGGGGGGAGAGCCGGAACCAGCCAAGUAGCUUGCAGGACGACGGCCUAUUGGUGGUAAAUUGCGUUGAUGCGGGGAUAGGGACCGCAUGAAUAAGGACCGGCUAAUUCCGUGCUCGCAGCCGCGGUAAUUA
Molecule: ribosomal RNA, 407 nt
Filed under: uncultured bacterium
Lineage: Bacteria
Description: partial 16S ribosomal RNA
Rfam family: Bacterial small subunit ribosomal RNA
Source: RNAcentral